RNAcentral lists this ribosomal RNA (253 nucleotides) under uncultured bacterium. Its description in RNAcentral is "partial 16S ribosomal RNA". It matches the Rfam family "Bacterial small subunit ribosomal RNA", at positions 524 to 776 of the family's 1533-position model. The record is from RNAcentral.
UACAGAGGGUGCGAGCGUUAAUCGGAAUUACUGGGCGUAAAGCGCGCGUAGGCGGCUUUGCAAGUCGGGUGUGAAAUCCCCAGGCCUAACCUGGGAACUGCAUUCGAGACUGCAUGGCUAGAGUAUCGGAGAGGGAAGUGGAAUUUCAGGUGUAGCGGUGAAAUGCGUAGAUAUUGGGAGGAACACCAGUGGCGAAGGCGGCUCACUGGACUGGUACUGACGCUGAUGCGCGAAAGCGUGGGGAGCAAACAGG